GUUCAUUCUUAUUUAAUUUUUGAAAGUAUUCUUGCCAUUCAGAUGGGUCGAUAGUAUUCUCAGAUUUGUUUUGACUAUUAUUUGAGAUAUUUUUAAUUUUAUCUAGUAGUUGCCAAUAGGCUUUGGGAUUUUGAUCAUAUAAAUUAUCGAGUUUAUUCAUGAUGUCUUGUUUGAAUUUUCUUAUUUUUGCUCUUCUUUGUUUUCGAUACGAUUUCAGGCAUUUAAAAAAGGACCCUCGUACAUAAGGAUCUGUGUUGUGAUUUUGCAUUAAUUUGUAUUUUCGAUAUAAGUUUUGUUUUAAAUUUAUUAUAUCUUGAUCUUGCCAUUCUCUAUUCUUUUUAAUUUUCUUCUUCUUGCUUUUUUUUGGUUUUCUAAUAAUUUUCUUUAGUGAUAAAUCUGCGGCUUUUAGAAAAAUCUUAUUUAAAUCUUCUGCGGCAUUAUUAAUUGAAUCUUGGUCAUAAAUUUUAUCUUUAUACUGUCUAAUAAAAUUUUUGAUUUCAUUUGAAUUUAUGGCAUCUUGAAAUGCUGAGACUGAGUUAUCAUCCCAUAUAUAUUUAUCUGGCAUUAAAGC
RNAcentral lists this long non-coding RNA (571 nucleotides) under Mytilus galloprovincialis (Mediterranean mussel). Lineage: Eukaryota; Metazoa; Mollusca; Bivalvia; Mytilida; Mytilidae. The record is from RNAcentral.